This 3615-nucleotide unclassified non-coding RNA is filed under the name Hevea brasiliensis (rubber tree). The record is from RNAcentral. Lineage: Eukaryota; Viridiplantae; Streptophyta; Magnoliopsida; Malpighiales; Euphorbiaceae.
GUGCAAAAUAAGUGUAUGCAAAUCGUUAAAUAGACAUUAGAUGCUAUAAAUAAGGUGAAUUCAAUUAUUGUGGCUAAAUAACAAUCUACUUUUCCUACGUUUUAGGUCUAGAAAUUGUCAAGCUAUUGGCAAAAAUCAUCACAUUUCAAGACACAAUUAUUAUUCAAGUCCGUUCAAAGUAACCGGAGAAAUACCUAAGUUGGGAAACCACAAAUUCUAAUUUAACAAAAUGAGAGGCGCCGGCGAAUUCUCAGAUAUCCAAACUUUGCUGCCCCUGGCGAUGAGCCCUCAAAAAUAAAUGGCAAAUAGCCCGUUGCGCCUUUGUACUUCUGCUGAAUCUCAAUAAUUUGUUGGCUGCUCCUUAGACAGUUCCUACCAAUCACACAAACUGUUCCGCCUGAUCCCCCACCAGUUAUUUUUGCUCCAUAGAGUGUCCCAUCAUGAGAUUUAGAGGAUUUACUAUGUUGCUUUUCUUGUACCAAGUGCACAAGCCUAUCCGUCCCAUCAGUGCCAAGUCCACACGCACUAUAGCUGUAAUGACACUGAUACAGCAAUUCACCAAGAGCAGUAAGUUGCUCAUCUGAAGUUGCAGAUGAUAGCAAUGCUUUGAAAGCCUUGACCCGGAAGUUUUCAUAGAUAGGAUGUUUAGCAGGUGCUCUCACCAUGUAAGUGCGCUUCUGAUCAAUUACUGUUACAGCAUCAUUGUGAUCAACAUACUUCUCCAAAAAUGCCUCACCAUGAAUGGAUUCAGGAAGCAUUUUAUGGUAAAGAGCUUCAUAUCUGUGUGGUGACAAGUUGCAUAAGUAAUCUAAGGAAGAUUCAUUUUUCAGUAGUUCAGAACCAUAGUCCUCCAAUUCAUCAAGGAUUGAUCCAUUAAUGCUGGGCAAUGACCUAGACAAAAUAGCAGAUGCCAUUGACUUUAUCAUCUUUCGACCCAUGAAGGCACCAAUUCUUACAGAUCCAUAGUCUGCACCGCCAACGCUGUGUCGUAUCCCUGAAUCAAUCCCCCAGAAUCGAAUAUGGCUAGGAAUUUCCACAAGACCAAUUACUUCAGCAGGCUGGCACACCAUUGCAAGAAGUUUGUUGGCUUCACCACAUACUGAAGUCAUCUGAUCCAUUACACCACAUGGAGCUCCAACAAUGUGAUUCUCCACCUUCUGGCAAAGCAAUGCCAUAUCCCUUGGGCUUAUGUUUAAUCCAUGAGCAGCAGCCACAGCAGACAUGCUAGCAACCUCCACAGAGGCAGAAGAAGAUACACCUUUGCCUUCUGGAACUGCAGAAGAAACCAGCAUGCUAAUACUAUCCUCAAAGCGUACACCUAGUUCUCUCAUCAAAACAAGAAUUGACCCUGCAACAUAAGCCGCCCACUUUUGUGAUGGGUCUUGGGCAAAAUAUUUCCUUGCCUUCUCAUAUGAAAUUGGCUGGUUGCCCUCCAUAAAAUCAGAUAAAUCCAUGUCAAAAGUUGGGCCACGAUUGCUUAACUCUGAACCAUAAGAUACAAUUUGCAGAACAGGAGUGGGUCCUUGUCCUUUUGCAUUUUGCCGAGCCUCAGCAUGUUUCCAAAGCCUGUGUUUGCUUGGAUGAUUCCUUUGAACAGCAACAUGGCAAGCUUCUCUUAUGGGCAUCUGCAAGACAAGACUUCCUGAAUAAUCAGCAAUCCCUCCCAUUACAUCCAGCCUGCCAGGUGCUCUUGUUACAAAAAUAUGUUCCUCCCAAUUAAAGAGUCCUGCAGCAGCCUUAUGCUCCCGCAUCUGGAGCUUCUCAGUAUUCUUUUCAGAGUCAUAUACAGAAUCUAGCUCUAAUAAACUCUUUAAGAAACUCGUGGUAUCUGAAAGACCUUGAAGAUCUCCAUGAAGAAUCUCAAAAUCUCCAGUCCAAGCGCUUGUUGGUAGUCCAUCCUCAUUUGUAUGUGCAACUGGUGACCCAGUAGACUUGCUAAGUUCAUUUUCAGCAUUUGCAUACCAUUCUGGAAUGCUGAUAUCUCGUCCAGCCACCCUCUGUAAUUGAUACCCAAGAACUAUGGCAUCCCGCAAUCUCCUUGACCCACUUAACUUAUCGGAAGUAUAGUUUUUCCCAAUAGCAGUCUCCUGUAAUAUAUGAGCUGCCACCUCGCCACCAUUUACGCCACCCUCGUAACAUGGUUUCAAACUAACUGCACGUUCAAGGUAAGGUUUCCAAUGACCAGUAAGUAAAUCUCUCCUAAUCAUCUCAACACCACUCUGAUAAUACUCAAGCAUAUUUCUCAAAAAGGGUUCUUCAUUGAAAUAAUCUCUUCGUACAAAGACAAAUGGUAACUUGUACGCAAGGGCUUCACUGCAAGUACCAUAUCCAAUUUUUCCUGAGAUAAUGGAAAUCCCAUUAAUUUUGAUUUCUAACCAUUUAAAUUAGUCAGACACCAUAAAUUUUCAUACAAACCCAGCAUGCAGUCAGAUGCUGCAAUCAGAUCAGGUGUAUACGCAUCUUUUGCAAGCUUUAUGAAAUUCGGCGGAAGCUCCUGGCUAUCAGAAGCACCACAAACCUGGAUUAAAUAACAAUAAUGUGGCAUUAACAAAUUCUUCAUUGUACAUUGUCAAAGUGAAUUUCGCGUAAAGAUUAUGCUACAAAAGCUACCAAGCAUAGCCAACCAGAAGGCAAGUACUCCUCCUUCAACUUCCAGCCAGAUGGCUGUCCACCAAAAUUAAGGAUAACUAGCUUCACAUGAUUACUGAUGCCAAGUUCCUUUCUCACCUCCUUGCGGGAUUUGUGCAACCUCCUCACAACAAGAGGUACAUCAAUGACAUCACGGAAAGCAGGCAUUGGGCAAUAUCCUGGGAGGCGGAUUAAGAACUCACAAUGAGAAUAAUCCUCAGCAAUCUGCCACACUAUUGAACGAUGAUGGUAUCCAGCGGCCAUCACAUACUCUGCAUAGAUGAAGUCCCAACUGAAGUUGGUGACACAAACAGAUCUAAUUCCAGCAUCAGCUGCUGCACGGCAUGCAACUGGAACAACAUCUGACACCACUAGGUCAGCUUUGAUAGAGUGAAGCCACUGUGUUUCUGUUGCUAAAAUAGAGUCCCGAGGUUUUACAGCAGUCUCUGAAUACUUCUCUAAUGAAGCAAGACGAUCCACUGUCAAUGCAUCUGCCUGAACUGCUCCGCAGUCCAAUAGCACCUUGCGGAUGAAUAGCCGAGGGGACUGUAUCUCAGAAGUGAACACAAAGUCAGGUGCACCAGUGACCACGUGCACAUCAUGCCCAGCAAGAAUUAAGUUCCUGACGACCUCGACAACCCGAGUGGCAUGGCCAAAACCAUGGCCAGUGACAUAAUAAGCGAAAACCAGGUGAUUCCUGGAAGCUGAUACUCUUUCGCUCUCUUCAAUUCUCAUCGUUGGACUUUCGCGGAUUGGGUUUGAAUUGGCUAUAUUCGUCUGAUGAGUGAGAUUUAUUUGGAAGGGAAGGUGACGGCUGCCCACGUCCGGAUUUUGAUCGAUAAGAAUGUAGAUUGCAUAGAAAACUAGAGAGAGAUAGCUCCUUUUUUGGACUCUACCAAGGUCAAUUUCUGCCGUUUACUUGCCCCAGUAGUUCAGGCGAUAUUUUCGAAUGCAAUCAGCAGAAGAUUAACAUCAAUUUGAAAAUUU